RNAcentral lists this transfer RNA (59 nucleotides) under Apaloderma vittatum (bar-tailed trogon). It matches the Rfam family "tRNA", at positions 8 to 63 of the family's 71-position model. Rfam says of the family: Transfer RNA (tRNA) molecules are approximately 80 nucleotides in length. Their secondary structure includes four short double-helical elements and three loops (D, anti-codon, and T loops). The record is from Rfam by way of RNAcentral. Lineage: Eukaryota; Metazoa; Chordata; Aves; Trogoniformes; Trogonidae.
UAGCUCAGUUGGUCAGAGCGUGGUGCUGAUAACAUCAAGGUCGCGAGUUCGAUUCCCGU